Molecule: ribosomal RNA, 125 nt
Filed under: uncultured bacterium
Lineage: Bacteria
Description: partial 16S ribosomal RNA
Rfam family: Bacterial small subunit ribosomal RNA
Source: RNAcentral
CGGUGAAUACGUUCCCGGGCCUUGUACACCCCGCCCGUCACACCACGAAAGUUGGUAACACCCGAAGCCGGUGGCCCAACCCUUUUGGGAGGGAGCCGUCGAAGGUGGGAUUAGCGAUUGGGGUG